This 250-nucleotide ribosomal RNA is filed under the name uncultured prokaryote. RNAcentral's name for it is "partial 16S ribosomal RNA". It matches the Rfam family "Bacterial small subunit ribosomal RNA", at positions 524 to 773 of the family's 1533-position model. The record is from RNAcentral.
UACGUAUGGUGCAAGCGUUAUCCGGAUUUACUGGGUGUAAAGGGUGCGUAGGUGGUGAGGCAAGUCAGAUGUGAAAACUAUGGGCUCAACCCAUAGACUGCAUUUGAAACUGCCUUACUAGAGUGCAGGAGAGGAAAGUGCAAUUCCUAGUGUAGCGGUGAAAUGCGUAGAUAUUAGGAGGAACACCAGUGGCGAAGGCGGCUUUCUGGACUGUUACUGACACUGAGGCACGAAAGCGUGGGGAGCAAAC